GGGUCAGUAGGUUGGUCGUGCCACCGGUACGUACUGGUCUCACUGAUUCCUCCUUCCUGAAGAACCGUAAUGCCAUUAAUUUGGUGUUGCGGGGAAACAGGACUGUUACUUUGAAAAAAUUAGAGUGUUUAAAGCAAGCUAACGCUUGAAUACAUUAGCAAGGGAUAAUGAAAUAGGACGAUCGAUCCUAUUUUGUUGGUUUCUAGGAUUGACGUA
RNAcentral lists this ribosomal RNA (216 nucleotides) under Glomeromycotina sp. RNAcentral describes it as "partial small subunit ribosomal RNA". The stretch from base 40 to 216 matches the Rfam family "Eukaryotic small subunit ribosomal RNA", at positions 686 to 864 of the family's 1831-position model. Lineage: Eukaryota; Fungi; Glomeromycota. The record is from RNAcentral.